RNAcentral lists this long non-coding RNA (315 nucleotides) under Ananas comosus (pineapple). Its description in RNAcentral is "long non-coding RNA (ACOM_LNC019120)". Lineage: Eukaryota; Viridiplantae; Streptophyta; Magnoliopsida; Poales; Bromeliaceae. The record is from RNAcentral.
UCAUCUAAAACUCGGACGAAUAUAUAUAUAUAUAGUGUGUAAAGUUAUUGUACUUUCAAAAGUAUAAAGAAGAUGGUGGUUCCGACUUUUCUUCUUGAGAGAGAAAGAUAGCAUACUAUUUGCUUCGUCUACUUUUUUAGAAAUGAAUCUAGCUAAAAAUCUGAAUCAAUAAGGUUUCAAAUUUGGAACUUUGAGUACCAAAUAAUCAAACCUUUCGUCACUUGCGCUAAGGACGGUCAGUUGUUUUUUACUUUUUGGCCCUUAGAUACUAGAAUGAUAGUGCUUCCUCUAGGAUUAAUUUAAUAAUUUUUUUAG